GUGAGGCGGCCGUUGCUAUGGCGGGGCCGGAGAGUAGCGAGCCGGGCCCAGGCGGGGCGGCCUGAAGGCCGCUGUCGUGCCGGGUGGGUGGGACAUCAGGAUUCCCCCGCUGGUUGUGGGGUCAAACAUGCGGAGGGUGGAGGCUGCCGGUUUGAGAGGCUGUGCUGGAGAGCGAGCGCCGCCCGUCGGCGGGAAGAGUGGCUCCCGUUUGCUGCUGAGGAAAGGUGCUGCGGAAGAUGAGGCAGGUGGUGUGCCACUUACGUUGAAUUUGUUCCAUUGAAUGUAAUCAGACUCCAGGGUUGAAAACAAGAGGAAAGCAGUUAGACAGACUUUACAGCCAGAGGGCCAACCUAUGAAGGAGACAUCCGCACCUUCAACUCCCUCAUCAGGCUAUUCACAGCAGCAUCAUUUGAGAAUUUUAAAGAUUUUGAAUAUCCUUUGUGUACCAUUGAAACCAGCCUGCUCCUUUUGCUGGGAAUCAUCAUGUUGAAUAUGGUUCAGGUCUUGCUCAAGGUUAGACAACUAUCCAAGAAUACCACCAGGAGAUCUUCUCUGAGGCUGGACAGUUACGAGUGGCAGGAUGCGUGGGAUAGUAUGGCCAAGUUCUUAGGCCAGUGGACCCCUCCAGUGCUUUGGAACUUCACAACUGAACAAGUGUGAAAUCUGGAACAACUAGUAAAAUAUUUGGAAAAAGUGUGCUGUUGUUCUACCAAUACCAGAGAGGGACAAAUCACUGACUGCAACAUGCUGGGGCUUGGCCUAUGCCUAUAGAGUCCUGAUCAACACUACCCAGUACCCUCAAGGUGAAAAAGAUGUCCUGGAUCUGAUGGCAAAGCAACACAUAAUGCGACAACUGUGUCCCUGACCGUAAGCACAGCAGCUACCCCAACUCCAGUGACAAGCACAACAGCUACUCCAACUCCAACAACAGAGACUGCAGCCACUCCAACCCCAGUCACAGGCACUGCAGCUGAACCAAAGGACUGAUCCAUUCUGCUAUCAGCUUCGUGUAGUGCAGGAAGAUGAAGAGUCGUCAAUGCCAGAACUAGAGGGAGCAACACCAGAAAAACAGGAAUCAGUACAAGAAACAGGAAGAGGCAGAACAAGAGGUAACUUCUCAAUCUCUGUCUUUGACUGAGCUGCAGAAUAUGUGAAAAGAUUUCACCCGUCUUCCAGGUGAGCAUAUCACCACCUGGAUGUUCUGAUGCUGGGACAAUGGAGCAAACAGUCACAAACUAGGAGGGGAAGCCAAGCAGAUGGGAUCACUUGCUAGGGAAGGGGGAACUGACAACAGCAAUUGCGAAAGAGAAACAAGUUCCCAGCCUUGGCAGAGUGAAGGAAAGGUUGCCCUGCAAGUGUGAUGUUAUGAGUCACUCAGGCAAGUGGGCCAUGAUAGAGAAAGGCCUCCAGUACCUAAGGGAAUCAGCCAUUCUAGAGACGAUGUUUGUAGGCCAGAUGCCAGGAAUGCACCCAUAGAUCCAGAUGGAAGUCAAACGUACACAAUCCAUGUGGCAGAAAUUUACAUGGAGUGAGCCAUCAUCAUACCCCGACUCAAUGGCAUCAAUGAGCUGGAGGGAUGCAGUGGCACCAAUAGUGGAUGAAGUAAGUCAUUAGCUCUGGGAGUCUGGAGACAAUCUCACCCCUUCCAUCAUUUCAGCUGUGGAAAAACUCCUGUCCCAGGAGUUCAAACAACUGAGAGACAGCUCCAGCUCACUACAUGUGCAGACUCACAUCUCAGCUAGUAACAGUAAGUGCCCUGUUGCUCAAGAGGAUAGAUAUAGGAGGUACACGCCACAGGGCACUCUAUGGUUUUACUCGAAGGGUCACAGAGAAGACAAAAGAAAGUAGGAAGGAAAACCUACCUCAGUUCUGGAGGAAUGGGUAUGUGAACUGCAAAGAAAAACAACAGUGAAUAGAGAUCCUCCCAAGAAAGUUGCUGCUCUCUUGUGGGCUGUUUACCAAAUGGAGUGAAAAAUCUGAUUUUACAGUGAUUCCUAUGGAAAGGAAUCCUAAUCCCUUGUAUAAGAAGUAAGUGGAGGAUCUUACUAGCACUAUUAGAGAGGCCCUGCCUCCAGCCAGGUGGAGGUAGGGAACAAUCAGAUUUACUGGACUUUGUGGAUCAGAUGGCCUGGCACAUCAGUCCCAUAGAAGUAAAAGGCUCUAAUAGAUAUCAGUGCCUAGUGUUCCCUGACGCCAUCAGGCUGCCAAGGGGUGGAACCCACUUGUAUUUCCAAGAGUUGACUGUGCUGAAGCCUGAAAUCAGCCUAACUGGGAAGGAGUGGCAAAAGCAUGCUAUUGUCACUGCUCCAGAGGCUCCAUGCAUCCUUGGCAUAGACUACCUCAGGAGAGGGUACUUCAAAGACCCAAAAGGGUACCGAUGAGCUUUUGGAAUUGCUGUAUUGAAGACAGAGGAAAUUGAGCAGCUGUCCACCUUGCCUGGUCUCUCAGCGGAUUCUUCUGUUGUGGGGUUGCUGAAGGUCAAAGAACGACAAGUGCCAUUCAUAAACACAAGAAUGCACUGGCAGCAAUAUCACACCAACUGAGACUCCCUGAUUUCCAUCUGUAAACUGACCCAUAGACUGGAGAGCCAAGGAGUGAUCAGCAGGAUCCACUCACCCUUCAGUAGCCCCAUACGACCAGUGCGAAAGUCUAAUGAAGAGAGCAGACUAACAGUAGACUAUCAUGGCCUGAAUGAAGUCACUACCCUUGAGUGCUGCCAUAUUGGACAUGCUAGAACUUCAGUGUGAACUGGAGUCAAAGGCAGCCAAUUGGUGUGCCAUGACUGAUAUUGCCAAUGCAUUUUUCUCAAUUCCUUUGGCAGCAGAGUGCAGGCCAUAGUUUGCUUUUACUUGGAGAGGCGUCUAGUACUCUUGGAACCGACUGUCCCAGGGGUGGAAACACAGCCCCUACCAUCUGCCAUGGACUUAUCCAGACUGCACUGGAACAGGGGCAAGCUCCAGAACACCCGCAAUACAUUGAUGACUUUACUGUGUGGGGUGAUACAGUGGAAGAAGUUUUUGAGAAAGGGAAGAAAAUAAUCCAAGUCCUCCUGAAAGCCAUAAAACAGAGUAAUGUUUUUCAAGGAAACUACACAGGAACUCUGUCCUGUAUGGUUUAUCGUGUCCCUUUAAUUCUAAACUCAUAUUAGAGUAAGCUCUAUUGUGACACAGAAUCAUAGAAAGGUUUGGAUUGUAAUGGACCUUAAAGAUCAGUCUUUAUCCCUUCCUUUUCUUGUUAGAAAAGAAAAGAAAGCUGAAACUUGGAGAUUGCAAUGUAAGAGAUUCUAGAAGGUACUGUCUGAGGCAUUGUUUCAUGACCUGAAUGACUCAACAGUUGUUUUGCUAGCUGUAACACUGAUAGGGAAUAAAGCUAUACAUAGGCAAUGCUCAAGAAUAUUUGUUCACUGUGCUUCGAGUAUUGCAUUUUUUUUCCUGUAAGACCUGAUAUUAGUAAUAACUUAGCUUCUGUUCUCUAGGAUCUGUUC
Melopsittacus undulatus (budgerigar) is the source of this 3484-nucleotide long non-coding RNA. RefSeq lists it as uncharacterized. The transcript is spliced from 3 exons. NCBI's taxonomy places the organism in Eukaryota, Metazoa, Chordata, Aves, Psittaciformes, Psittaculidae. The record is from RefSeq and is a predicted model, not a curated record.